CAGGAAGGCAGCUUCUGGCAUUAGACCUCAAUGUCUAACUUUUAGAAGCCCAGGAUCAGUUGUGCUGAACCUGUCCUUGAGCACUUCUGGAUUUAGCUCUCUGAAGACACCAGAAACUUAAGAUGGUACAAGGGAUCAGGUGAACACUCCUUGCUUACCUCACAUCAAAGACAGCUGAGUUUUAACUGCUGAAGAAGAUGAUUUGCUGCUGUUUGUUUGUUUGUUUGUUUGUUUUUUCCUGAAUUGGGAUAUGGAGACCUCAGAGUGAAUUCUCACCACUUCUCUUGUGGGGCUGUCUGCAAAUGGGAGUGGAAAGCUGCACCCAGCAAAAUUGUGGCCAUUCCUCUGCCAAAAUGGAGACCAGAGGAGGAGGUGAAAAAAGAUGCACAGCUGGGAGAUCAGUUUAGUGAGCUAUCUUUAAGAACCAUUGCUAAAAAGGGAUUUGGUGGAAGCGGGAAAGAGACCAAUUUACUCCUCUUCAGAUGCUGCUGAACUGUGAACCAUGUGAGACUUGAUUCACAUCUGGAACUGUCUGUUGCACUCAAGAAUAUAUUCCUUUGAAUCUGAGUAAUAAAU
Molecule: long non-coding RNA, 576 nt
Filed under: Apteryx rowi (Okarito brown kiwi)
Lineage: Eukaryota; Metazoa; Chordata; Aves; Apterygiformes; Apterygidae
Description: lncRNA (ENSARWG00000001647.1)
Source: RNAcentral